CCAGACUCCUACGGGAGGCAGCAGUGAGGAAUAUUGGUCAAUGGCCGAGAGGCUGAACCAGCCAAGUCGCGUGAGGGAAGACGGCCCUACGGGUUGUAAACCUCUUUUGUCGGGGAGCAAAGAGAGUCACGUGUGACUCAUUGAGAGUACCCGAAGAAAAAGCAUCGGCUAACUCCGUGCCAGCAGCCGCGGUAAUACGGAGGAUGCGAGCGUUAUCCGGAUUUAUUGGGUUUAAAGGGUGCGCAGGCGGGUCUUAUAGGCAGAGGGGAAAGCCCGGGGCCCCCCCCCCGGCCCCGCCGUUGAAACUGGCAGUCUCGAGUUGGCGAGAAGUAUGCGGAAUGCGUGGUGUAGCGGUGAAAUGCAUAGAUAUCACGCAGAACUCCGAUUGCGAAGGCAGCAUACCGGCGCCCGACUGACGCUGAGGCACGAAAGCGUGGGUAUCGAACAGGAUUAGAUACCCUAGUA
This 465-nucleotide ribosomal RNA is filed under the name uncultured bacterium. Its description in RNAcentral is "bacterial SSU rRNA". It matches the Rfam family "Bacterial small subunit ribosomal RNA", at positions 331 to 792 of the family's 1533-position model. The record is from RNAcentral.